This 490-nucleotide ribosomal RNA is filed under the name uncultured bacterium. Its description in RNAcentral is "partial 16S ribosomal RNA". It matches the Rfam family "Bacterial small subunit ribosomal RNA", at positions 30 to 507 of the family's 1533-position model. The record is from RNAcentral.
AUUGAACGCUGGCGGCAUGCCUUACACAUGCAAGUCGAACGGCAGCAUGAUCUCGCUUGCUAGAUUGAUGGCGAGUGGCGAAGGGGUGAGUAAUACAUCGGAACGUGCUCUGUAGUGGGGGAUAACUAGUCGAAAGAUUAGCUAAUACCGCAUACGACUUGAGCGGGAUAGUGGGGGACCGCAAGGCCUCAUGCUAUAGGCGCGUCCCAUGUCUGAUUAGCUAGUUGGUGAGGUAAAGGCUCACCAAGGCGACGAUCAGUAGCUGGUCUGAGAGGAUGAUCAGCCACACUGGGACUGAGACACGGCCCAGACUCCUACGGGAGGCAGCAGUGGGGAAUUUUGGACAAUGGGCGAAAGCCUGAUCCAGCAAUGCCGCGUGUGUGAAGAAGGCCUUCGGGUUGUAAAGCACUUUUGUCCGGAAAGAAAUGGUUCUGGUUAAUACCUGGGGUCGAUGACGGUACCGGAAGAAUAAGGACCGGCUAACUACGUG